Long non-coding RNA from Vespa crabro (European hornet), 287 nucleotides. RefSeq lists it as uncharacterized. The transcript has 2 exons. The record is from RefSeq and is a predicted model, not a curated record. NCBI's taxonomy places the organism in Eukaryota, Metazoa, Arthropoda, Insecta, Hymenoptera, Vespidae.
CAUAACCAGUUAUACCAUUCUCGGGAAAAACAACAAUGUCGGCGUUCUGAAAAAAAAAAAAGAAAAGAAAAAGAAAAGAAAAAAGAUGAAACAAAAAAUACAAAAGAAAUAGUCGUACGUUACAUUAGUAACUUUGUUUAUAAAUUUCGUCUUAGAAUUUCAACGUAUCGAUUUCUGAGACUUUAUUAUAUAUCGCUAAUUCGUGGAACGUUCGUUGAAUGAAAUAGGAGUGAAAGUGGAAAUGAGACGAUACGAUGUGAUUGUACGCAGAAAAAAAAAAAAAGAAA